This is a small nuclear RNA of Otolemur garnettii (small-eared galago), 106 nucleotides long. The record is from Ensembl. Lineage: Eukaryota; Metazoa; Chordata; Mammalia; Primates; Galagidae.
GCACUGGCUUCAGUAGCACAUACACUAAAAUUGGAGCCAUACAGAGAAGACGACCCUGGCCCCUGUGAAGGAUGACAUGCAAAUUCAGGAAGCAUUCCAUACUUAA